This 425-nucleotide ribosomal RNA is filed under the name uncultured bacterium. RNAcentral's name for it is "partial 16S ribosomal RNA". It matches the Rfam family "Bacterial small subunit ribosomal RNA", at positions 354 to 796 of the family's 1533-position model. The record is from RNAcentral.
GUGGGGAAUCUUGCGCAAUGGGCGAAAGCCUGACGCAGCCAUGCCGCGUGAAUGAUGAAGGUCUUAGGAUUGUAAAAUUCUUUCACCGGGGACGAUAAUGACGGUACCCGGAGAAGAAGCCCCGGCUAACUUCGUGCCAGCAGCCGCGGUAAUACGAAGGGGGCUAGCGUUGCUCGGAAUUACUGGGCGUAAAGGGAGCGUAGGCGGACAUUUAAGUCAGGGGUGAAAUCCCGAGGCUCAACCUCGGAACUGCCUUUGAUACUGGGUGUCUUGAGUGUGAGAGAGGUGAGUGGAACUCCGAGUGUAGAGGUGAAAUUCGUAGAUAUUCGGAAGAACACCAGUGGCGAAGGCGACUCACUGGCUCAUUACUGACGCUGAGGCUCGAAAGCGUGGGGAGCAAACAGGAUUAGAAACCCUUGUAGUCC